UUAAAUUUUAUACCUACGACAUAAACGUAUAUACAACUGAGGUACAUGAUGUAUAUUUAUAUACUUACACGCUAUGUACACUCACGUCAAUAACACAAUAGCACCACACCCGAGCCACGACGAUCCCUUCUCUUGGGUCCUCUGCAGGUAUAUGCCUAUAAUAUAGUAUAAUAGAAUCUCUUUUGUUGCAGGCGACACUGUGUUCUGCGAUCAGCCACCGUCGGCAUUUUUCUUCGCUGUCUUGUAAACCAGUCGAACUGUCGAAUCGAUUUCUACAAUCAUUUGAGUUUUGAACACGAUUCAACGUCGACGUACAUUCCGAUACAGCCUACAGUGUGGUCAGUGUUCUGUUCGCUACGCCAUUUGCACGUGUUGUCAACAGUCUUCGUCGCAGUUUUCAACGUUUCGAAGGUCCAUACAAUUUUCGCAUUCAAAAUGAAGAAGUCCACGAAUAAUGGAGAAUCUUUGUCCAAUCAGCCUCAGAACAAUCAGCCUCGAAACUCGCAGUCUCGACAUGACAUCUUUUUCGGCAGGGGCUUUAUUGGUUUUAACCAACACGAUCGUUUGCCGGUUAUAACACGUGUGUGGAGUUUGGCAUCGGAAACUAACAAUCGGAAACCAACAAAAUGGGAUGGCAAUGAGGAAUAAUAUAUUAUGUCAUAUGUGAAGUAGUUAUAUUAUAUACUAUGAACUUGUACAAUAUAUUACUGUCACACAUUA
Rhopalosiphum padi (bird cherry-oat aphid) is the source of this 720-nucleotide long non-coding RNA. RefSeq lists it as uncharacterized. The transcript is spliced from 2 exons. The record is from RefSeq and is a predicted model, not a curated record. Lineage: Eukaryota; Metazoa; Arthropoda; Insecta; Hemiptera; Aphididae.